AGAAGGGCCUAUGGGUGCAGAGUUCAUCUGCUUGACAGGAGUGAACCGUUGAAACCCACGCUGGUGAUAAGGGAUUACGCAUCUGCCGCGCUCCGCUAACUAGCAAUUGGUGCUUGGACAAAGUGUCACCUUCGCCAAGGCACUGUCUCCCCAAGGAAGUCGCCUGCAAGCCUGAGUGCUUUGGUGACAUGAGGUCGCUGCUAGUCCCGUGUGUUUCCACCUGUGACAACGACUUUGGGAACCCUUGGUCAAGAAAAUGUACUUUGCCAGGAAUGGUGGCACAUGCCUUUAAUCCCAGCAUUCAGAAGGAAGAGAAAUUUCAUUUUGGGCCACCACAGAGAAAUACUAUGCAAAGCUUCAUUGUCUUGUGGAUAUGUAGAACCUACUAGGAACAUACAAGCUCUAAAUAAUGCCCAACUCUGCUGGAUGAAGCAUGAAGCCAGCCACUCUCAUCUUCUUCCACAAAACCAAAAACAACCCCCAAAACAAAUAAUGCUGAAAUUCUAAAUGGAAGAAAUAGAAGUA
RNAcentral lists this long non-coding RNA (525 nucleotides) under Mus musculus (house mouse). RNAcentral's name for it is "predicted gene, 16984". Lineage: Eukaryota; Metazoa; Chordata; Mammalia; Rodentia; Muridae. The record is from RNAcentral.